AUAUUUUUUGAAAACCACUGCUCUAAUUGAUAUCCUUUAUGAUAAAUCACCUCGAGGAUCUUCACAGUGAGGUGACAUGGGGGAUGCAGAAGCCAGGUCCUCAGCCAUGGAAGGUCUGGGGAAGGGGCACUGCUGUCCUGAUUGGGACGAUGGAGGCCUGGAGGUGUCUGGAUGGUAGAAGUCUUUGAGGCACAGAAAGCUGCCUUAGCAGGGAGGUGUAAGGGUUCCUGGGAGGAAGGUGGAGAGCAUGAUCCUGAGGAACAGGGAGUCUUGCAUCACGGCAAUGGAGGGACUCUGAUUCUAAGGGGUAAGGAUGCCUGAGGCUUUUCCAGAGAGCUAUGGGGUUCCAUGGGCAGGCUCUGAGCCUGUGCCCGCCACUAACCCCACUGAAGCCCGUCCCUUCAGGCUGAUGCUGGUGGAGGAGGAGCUGCGCCGGGACCACCCCGCCAUGGCUGAGCCGCUGCCAGAACCCAAGAAGAGGCUGCUCGACGCUCAGCUCCUCAUCAGGUAAUUCUCCUGGUUCCGCUUUGGCCACGGGCGGAGGACACAGGGGGAGGUGACUCCGGACCACUGCAGGAGAGGCAGCUUCCCCCCUUGGGUCCAACAAACCCGCGUGUGACGCUGGCCCCACCAUGGAACGGCCUGGCCCCCCCAGCCCCACCACCCCCACCCCGGCUGCAGAUUACGGAGAACGGCGAGUUCCGAAACACCGCAGACCACUAGCCCACCCAGCAUCACAGACCUUCUCUUCCUUUCCUGUGCACCCCACCCUGUAACAGCACCAACCACCAGGAUUGGACAUCACCGAGGAACAGCGGGAUUGCCUCCCCGAAUGCCUCCCUGGGAGGCACACUGAUUGCCCACCCCCCCCACUGCACCAUUUCCAGGAGGGAGAGUGGGGACCCUCAGCCGCCCCCUUUUCCUUCCCAUUGGGGUGCUGCCCUCUCUUUGACCCCCAGGGACCCUUGCCCCAGGACACCGCCUACCCCACACAGACCCCUUCACUCCGGGGUGCUAUCCCCAUCCUCUGCCUCAUCGUUCCCCUGAGCACUGGGGGACAGACCCUCACCCCCACCCUGGGGGUGUGGCACCUCCAAACUUUCAACUUCAGGGUGAUUUUUUUAGCAGUAACCAGAGCUGACAAUCUAACUCCCCUCCACCGCCCCAUUUUGGCCUCCCCUGCCCCCCUUGUUAUGGGGAGGGGACCCCGGGUGAGGGGGCCCUAUUACCCCUUGAUUUCUCAGGAGCGUCUGGGGGGGCUCAGCACGCACAAACUCCUCCUCCUUCUACCACUCUUAAAUUUACUCCCUCCCCACCCAGAACCCAGAUGGGGUGGAGGGGGCCACCGGGGCAGGGAGGGGGCGGCAAGGGGGGAAUGGGAGUUGUCUCCCCUUCUCCCCACACCUGAUCUGCUCUCGGCUGGUCCCAGAGCGGGGUGAGGGGGCUUAUGCCCCCCCCUCCCCCAGUGUGUUGGGUGGGGUGGAAUUGAGGUUAGGGUGAGGGGUCAGGGUUUAGGAGGGUGUGUAUGUUGGGAGGACAGGCUAGUUGAUCUGUCCUACUCUGACACACAGUCCCCCCUGCCCCUUCCUUCUCUCUUCUUGGUCUCUACUCCCAGGGGGAGGGGGGAACUUACUCUAGGAAAAGCCAUGUCUCUCUCCCCCAGGGUGGGGGGACCUGUGUUGGAGGAGGGGUGUUGGGGGGCCCCCUUCCAUGACUCUGUCCCCUGGGGGAGGUAGGACAGGGCUGGGCUUCCCUCUCAUCCUCCCCCUCCCAAUCUCCUUCCACCUCCCUCCCUCCCGCCAGCUCCACGAUUUUUCGGUGUUUCUCUGUACAUAGUUUUCUGGCGGGAUAGGGGAGGUAGGAUGGAUGGGGUUUGGGGUGGGUAGGCCAUGGGAGGGGAGAAGCCCCUCCUUGGCACCCCCUCUUCCCUGACUGCUGUCCCCUACCCAGCCUUGCCCCCUUCAUCCUUUUGCGUUUGGUAUUGAGACUCUCCUAGACUCUACUCCUCUUUCUUUUGUAUGGACAGUUCCCCUUCAGUCCCAUCCCCCUACACAUACACCCAGCCGGGGCCAAAUUUAUACUUAUAUAAAAGUUGUAAAUAUGUGAAAUUUUAUCCCUGUGCCCUUUCCCCACCUCAGGCCCUACCCCUGGACCCUCCCCAACCUUCCUUCUCUCUUCUUUGGCUGUUGUAAUUAUCUGGGGUUUGUACUGUACAUAUCCGGGGUGUGUGUGUGUGGGCUGGGGGCAACCCUUCUGUACAGAGCUUCCUGGCCCCCUCCCCCCCCGCCCCUCUGCUUCCCUCCCCACCCACCACCUCAAGGGUAGGGAGUUGCUCUUCCUACCUGUUUUAUUUUGUUUUCUCGUUCUCCCUCCCCACCCCACUCCCAGCCUUAUCUAUCCCCCCUCACUGUCCCCUUUUCUCCACUCCCAGCCCCAUUUCCUUUUUUUCUGGAGUGUGUGGUGAAACAGAAAAAAACAUGUUUAAUAAACGGAGAUUGUUCUUUUAUCGCUGUGCCGACUUUCUUAGGCAGGGCUCUCCAGACCUGUACGGUGGUAAGAUCUGCUUUCUGAAAGGAAGCUGACAGCCUGAGAGGAAAACCGUAUAUCCCCACCUGAUGCCACACUCUCCUCAUAGAAUGUCACUCUCCCCUCCCAAUGAGAUUUUUUAUAUUUUAGAGCAGGAGUUUUGCACCGGCCAAACUUCUCCAAUCUAACUCUCCCCUCACCACUGUGUCACUUAGUCCGAUGCCAGGAACAGCGGCGUUAUCUGAUAAAAGAGUUCAUGUAUAUAUCCACAUUUAUCUCUUUUAAAAAUUGCCUAGAAAUAAGGUUUCUUUAAUUGCUGGUUAAAAUGCUCCCGUGCAGAAAACAGGAAAGAACCUGCCUGGUUCCUUAGCAAAUCUGAGUUCCAGUCCCAGGUCCACUACUAUUAGCUGAGUGACGCUUCCAGCCCGUUUCCCCCGCCUGGAAACUGAGGACGGCAACCCCCACCCUCGCAGGGCCGGUGGGAAGACACAAAGUGAUGUGGGCAAGUGCCAGGCCCCCAUGGUAAGUGCCCAACUAAUCUCGCCCCUCUCAGGACCUACCGGGGGCGGGUGCUACACUUAAUCACCGGGAAACGCAGCUUUCCGGGGCGGCUGACGGCCCGCCCCCUCCGACCGGGCUGUUCUCUCCCGGGCCCUGGCUCUCGGUCCUCUGCAGCGGGGAGGACUUCGGCAGCUCCCCGGGACGCCCGUUGCGAGGGCACCCUGGGCCAGUG
RNAcentral lists this long non-coding RNA (3259 nucleotides) under Pan troglodytes (chimpanzee). RNAcentral's name for it is "long non-coding RNA NONPTRT014593". The record is from RNAcentral. Lineage: Eukaryota; Metazoa; Chordata; Mammalia; Primates; Hominidae.